Molecule: long non-coding RNA, 298 nt
Organism: Lolium rigidum
Lineage: Eukaryota; Viridiplantae; Streptophyta; Magnoliopsida; Poales; Poaceae
Exons: 3
Source: RefSeq, a predicted model, not a curated record
AUAUCACAACGGUGGCUUGCCCGAGUUUCACCUCUAAGCUUUGAACUUGAAGCUGCAUUGAAGUUGGCUAGAUAUUUGUGCAGGUCCUGCUCCCUGGCAUCUCGGGCUAUCGCUGUUGGCAUGGCGGUCUCAUCACCAUCAGGUACCAAUGUAAAGAAUGUUGUAUUCUCUACAGACUGAGCUGGCUUUUCCCAAUUUUCUUCAUGUAUAUACCUAUGAAUAUUUGCUAAAGAGGAGCUUGUAGAAUCAUCUCUCUCUUCAUCAGCUUGCAACAUCAAUUAUCUAUAUUUGAGCUAUA